CUAGCUUCGAUGUACGAUCUAUAAAAUGAAAAGGCGGGUUACUCAUCAAUAAAUUUAUACACAUUUUACACACAUAAAAUGUACACAAAAUGACACAUUUGUUAAAUUUACUUGCAUUCAAUAUUUUGAACAUCGAAAAAAGAAAGGCAUUAUGUUUGUUAACCAUAUUGUUAUCAUUGUGUGAAAAAUCCACACGAAAAUCUGUAUUUUGGUUACAUAAAUCAAUCUUUAUUUAAAACCUGGUCUGUUAAUGGGUCGGAUGUAUAAAACCCGGUCUGUUAAAUGGUCUGUUAAGAGUUAUGAAUGGCAAUAAAAGUAUAAUUUUAUUGCUGUAUGGGGUGUUAUCGGAUCAAAUGAGUAGGCUCAGGACGAGCAGCUUACACAUACGAAAACAACACAUGAGCAAUGAAACAUAACAUAUAUACGGAAACAAC
This 434-nucleotide long non-coding RNA is filed under the name Mytilus galloprovincialis (Mediterranean mussel). The record is from RNAcentral. Lineage: Eukaryota; Metazoa; Mollusca; Bivalvia; Mytilida; Mytilidae.